This is a long non-coding RNA of Mustela erminea (ermine), 388 nucleotides long. RefSeq lists it as uncharacterized. The transcript is spliced from 3 exons. The record is from RefSeq and is a predicted model, not a curated record. NCBI's taxonomy places the organism in Eukaryota, Metazoa, Chordata, Mammalia, Carnivora, Mustelidae.
GACAACCGCAGGCUUGUUCUGGUCUCUCCUGGUCCCCGCCCGAUGUGCCUUGAUCCCCUGCUGACUUCACUCUGUAAUCUCUUCGCAGAAGAAACUUGUAAUUACUGGGCCGCAUGGUAUGCAUCUGUAUACUGUUGCUGAAUAUUGCCAGUUUCUCCUCCAUCAGAACUCUUGGGCCGUUUGGCCCGCCUACCAGCAAGGCACUGGAAACCCAACAACGAACUUACUUUCCUACCUGAGGGAGCUAAUGAAGAAGGAAAUCACAUUAUUUUUCUGAUUCCGGCUGAAAGAUUCUCCCUAAAAGAAUAUACUCUUGGUUUACAUGAUUUUCUCCAUGCUUCCAUCUCUGAUAUCUGGAAAUUUGAGGUCAUCCCUCCUAAUGAGUCAA